This 397-nucleotide ribosomal RNA is filed under the name uncultured bacterium. RNAcentral's name for it is "partial 16S ribosomal RNA". It matches the Rfam family "Bacterial small subunit ribosomal RNA", at positions 523 to 918 of the family's 1533-position model. The record is from RNAcentral.
AUACGUAGGUGGCAAGCGUUGUCCGGAAUUAUUGGGCGUAAAGCGCGCGCAGGUGGUUCCUUAAGUCUGAUGUGAAAGCCCCCGGCUCAACCGGGGAGGGUCAUUGGAAACUGGGGAACUUGAGUGCAGAAGAGGAUAGUGGAAUUCCAAGUGUAGCGGUGAAAUGCGUAGAGAUUCGGAGGAACACCAGUGGCGAAGGCGACUGUCUGGUCUGUAACUGACACUGAGGCGCGAAAGCGUGGGGAGCAAACAGGAUUAGAUACCCUGGUAGUCCACGCUGUAAACGAUGAGUGCUAAGUGUUGGGGGGUUUCCGCCCCUCAGUGCUGCAGCUAACGCAUUAAGCACUCCGCCUGGGGAGUACGGUCGCAAGACUGAAACUCAAAGGAAUUGACGGGG